UUUUUUUUAAAUUUUUGGUUAUUUGUUUGAUUCCCAGAGAGGAACAUAGCUUGGGGUUAUCCCUUUGUAUUUACAUAUAUCUAGUGCUUUCAAUGCUCUGGGUCAUCAUUACAUAGAGACAGAACAGGGCAGAAUGUAACUGGAACUAUUAUUUCAGAAAGGGUGAAAAAGAAGCCACACAGCUGUCUCAGUUUUGGGUUGCCCAGAUGAAUUUGAUGUGUAAGUCUCUAAUGGCAACAAACCCAUGAAGCAGUAGUAACAGAGAGAGGUUUGGGAGCGAUGUGGAAAAACCUAUGAGGCACUACAUCUAUGACUAAGAUGCCUGAUGUGCUCUCAUUAAAAGAAAAAUUCCCCACAGACAGGAUUAUUAAGAGUAUUCUUAUUUGACAUGGUUAUUAAUGAGGAGGAGGAGGGAGCAAAUUGUACAUUAAUGAACUUCACAGAGAAUAAUUCUCUGGGAUGAUCUCAGGGCUCCAGCAAGGCCAUAUCACUGGCUAAGUGAAGUGCAGUGCUAUUGUUGACUGAAACCUCUAAACAUUGCAUCCAAUCCUCUCCAAAACCACUGGCCUCAUGGGACAGUGGCCUUUCAUUGCCAGUGGGUAUAACUUGUCACCACUGCCUCUUGUCCUAUUGGAAGGCAGCACUGAGAAGAGCCUGGGCUUCUCCUCUUCAUUCCUUUCCAUCCAGUUAUUUACACUCAUUGUGAAGUUCUUCCCUAAGCCUUCUUAGCUUUAGGCUAGACAGUUCCAGCUCUCAGCUUUUCCUCUCAUGACAGAUACUCCAGUUCCUUAAUCACCUACAUGGCUCUUUGCUGGACUCAAUUUGGGAAGCAGCAGCACAAGAAGAGACAGCUCCCCAACAGCUGUUUUCCCUAGGCACAGGACAUUGUUGCAAGGUGUUAGUACGUGUAAAGCCAAUGCUGUAACUUCUCUAUGGUCGGGACUGAAAGCUGAAUCAGAGGUGUUAUCUCAGCAGAGGCGUGGCAGGAGUAGAGCAGAAGCAUCAUCUGGAAGGCAGCACCCCAUGGAGGUGAAUACAAAAAGCUGACAAUUCUUAAUUGCUGCCCCUAUGGCAGGCAGAGCCUGGAGCUUGGGUGGCUGUAAGCAAGCAGGGAGCAUAGGGAGGAAAACCCCCAGGCAGGAGUGCUGGAGGCCCCAGGUGAGACAGAGAUGAGAAGUGCCUGGGGAAUGCAGGGUGCACACAGCAAUUUGGGGCAGUACAAUCCUGACAGGGAGAUGCGUACCACCUCCUUCCCUAGGGUCUGUUCACCUUGGCUCAAGAGUCAGGGAGGAGCUGGGUGUUGAUGGCAAAGCUCCCCGUUACUGGACAAGCUGGAGUAAAGCUGUGGCUGCCAGGAAGUGUGGCUGAACUGGCGAGAGCGGGAAGGAUGCAGGGGAGAUGACUGCAGAGCUCCUAAACACAAGGACAUGUCCUCCACAUUUUAGCUGAGCAAUAAAAUGAGACAAGUGCAGUUGAGUGAACAGCAGAAAGGUCCUGACAUUUCAGAAAUCCUUUGCUGUUUUGUGUUUAAUCAAUCUGUACUAAGCCUCAAAUAUGAAAAGAAGUACUUAGGGCAAAGGUGAAUUUCAUUUUAAGGGUAAAUUGCUUUGAUGAUUGUCGAUUUGCCAAGAUCUUUUCAGCACAGAAAUGGUAUUAUUUCCCAGGCUCCCGGCAUGGUCCUAAAGGUCACAACUCACAACAACUCUCUUCCUUUCUAUUGUUCUUACAAUAAAAGCUACAAACACAAGAUGUUGCUGCUGCUUCUCGGUACCACUAGAUAAAAAACGUCUCAACAGUAUAAGUUGUUUCAUGUUCCUGGAGCUUUAUUGUAAAGGUGUAAUGAAAAUGGACCAUGAAAAGCUCAUUGUCAUUUUGCAAGAUGCCUAUUUCACUUGCAUUUAUCUCCCUUCCCUUCUCUAUGCAGUAGAGUUCAUGCUCCUUCCCAAACCACUCCCAUUACUUCUAAGUGAGAACUUCUGCCCCAUAAAAUUCUUUUCAUGAAAUACACUACAACUACAGUUUUGUGGAAAUGGUGUAAUGGAGAGAGGCAAGUCCUCACCAGGCAUUUAAAUCAGGAACAGUAAGAUUUGUGUGGGUGCCGAACUGACCUCUAGUGGCACCUACACAAUAACCUUAUGUCAGUUUCGGUUUGUUUUCUUUUCCAACUAUCGGCAGGUAGGCUAUGAAGUAUCAUCACACAAUAUUCCACAGCGGAUGUGUGUCAGCAUUUUGCGAACUGACGGAACUUAAGCAGCGCGCACUCUGUGGGUACAGCUUCCCACGGAGCAAACCGGCUGAGCGCACACUGUGACUCCGCUGUGCUUUGCUGGACCAGACCGGCCGGUGGGAGCCCAGCCGCCGCACGGACAAUGCCAUCAGCCGGGAGCACCGCGCCAGCACGGACCCAGCGCAGCCUCCUCGCCAAGAGGUGCCAGCACCUCCCGUUCCCAAGAGCCGUGCCCAGGUGAGGCCCCCGGAGGCACAUCCCCUCAGUGCCGAGCCCGCUCCCCGUGCCGGCGCUCCAGCGCAGCCGCCGGCCCGCCCCGGCCCCAAGGCCCCC
This is a long non-coding RNA of Taeniopygia guttata (zebra finch), 2560 nucleotides long. Lineage: Eukaryota; Metazoa; Chordata; Aves; Passeriformes; Estrildidae. The record is from Ensembl.